AAAAAAAAAAAAUCGCUCUGCUCCGAUACUUUGCUCUGCUCUAGUGUCGUUCGAAGAUACUCCGACCAUUCGUCUCUUGUCGUUCGUUGAUCCUCUAGUGCAUUUCGUCGCUCCUUCUUUUCAAACCAUUCAAUCAACUUUGAGCGUUUUCUCUUAUUUCGCAUAUGCGGAGGCCGUCUACCUAAUUGUAAAUCAGUCAGCUUGGAAGACAAGCGAAGACUAUCUACAUAUGAUUGUUUUACCUCCGAAAGUAGUCAAAAGAGUUGAAGUAAAGAAAUAGGUCACAACAGAUUAACGUGUACUAAUACAAUUUCAUAUACCGAGAAGUCCAGCAUACAAAUUUAAAAAUUUCUCUACCAAUGUACUAAUUAUUACACUAAUUAAUGAAUGUUCCUUUUCUUUCAA
Cucumis melo (muskmelon) is the source of this 405-nucleotide long non-coding RNA. RefSeq lists it as uncharacterized. The transcript has 2 exons. Lineage: Eukaryota; Viridiplantae; Streptophyta; Magnoliopsida; Cucurbitales; Cucurbitaceae. The record is from RefSeq and is a predicted model, not a curated record.